UACGUAGGGUGCGAGCGUUGUCCGGAAUUAUUGGGCGUAAAGGGCUCGUAGGCGGUUUGUUGCGUCGGGAGUGAAAACACCGGGCUUAACUCGGUGCUUGCUUUCGAUACGGGCAGACUAGAGGCAUGCAGGGGAGAACGGAAUUCCUGGUGUAGCGGUGAAAUGCGCAGAUAUCAGGAGGAACACCGGUGGCGAAGGCGGUUCUCUGGGCAUGGCCUGACGCUGAGGAGCGAAAGUGUGGGGAGCGAACAGG
RNAcentral lists this ribosomal RNA (253 nucleotides) under uncultured bacterium. Its description in RNAcentral is "partial 16S ribosomal RNA". It matches the Rfam family "Bacterial small subunit ribosomal RNA", at positions 524 to 776 of the family's 1533-position model. The record is from RNAcentral.